RNAcentral lists this unclassified non-coding RNA (19 nucleotides) under Mus musculus (house mouse). RNAcentral describes it as "oocyte_clustered_small_RNA8461". The record is from RNAcentral. Lineage: Eukaryota; Metazoa; Chordata; Mammalia; Rodentia; Muridae.
AGCCCUGGCCUGGGCCCAC